AGAUUGAACGCUGGCGGCAGGCCUAACACAUGCAAGUCGAACGGCAGCGCGGACUUCGGUCUGGCGGCGAGUGGCGAACGGGUGAGUAAUAUAUCGGAACGUGCCCAGUAGCGGGGGAUAACUACGCGAAAGCGUGGCUAAUACCGCAUACGCCCUACGGGGGAAAGGGGGGGGAUUCUUCGGAACCUCUCACUAUUGGAGCGGCCGAUAUCAGAUUAGCUAGUUGGUGAGGUAAAGGCUCACCAAGGCGACGAUCUGUAGCUGGUUUGAGAGGACGACCAGCCACACUGGGACUGAGACACGGCCCAGACUCCUACGGGAGGCAGCAGUGGGAAUUUGGACAAGUGGGGAAACCUGAUCCAGCCAUCCCGCGUGUGCGAUGAAGGCCUUCGGGUUGUAAAGCACUUUGGCGAGGAAGAAACGGCGUCCCUAAGUACGGGCGUCACGUCGACGGUACCUGCAGAAUAAGCACCGGCUAACUACGUGCCAGCAGCCGC
Molecule: ribosomal RNA, 497 nt
Filed under: uncultured soil bacterium
Lineage: Bacteria
Description: bacterial SSU rRNA
Rfam family: Bacterial small subunit ribosomal RNA
Source: RNAcentral